UUAAAACAGGUUCGCAAACUCCCUGUCAAAAAAACUAAGGAGAA
Molecule: non-coding RNA, 44 nt
Filed under: Jeotgalicoccus saudimassiliensis
Lineage: Bacteria; Bacillati; Bacillota; Bacilli; Caryophanales; Staphylococcaceae
Also listed under: 1 other name
Description: PreQ1 (pre queuosine) riboswitch aptamer
Rfam family: PreQ1 (pre queuosine) riboswitch aptamer
About the family: This family is a bacterial riboswitch that binds to the metabolite preQ1, an intermediate in the biosynthesis of the modified nucleoside queuosine from GTP.
Source: Rfam by way of RNAcentral